UACGGAGGGUGCAAGCGUUAUCCGGAUUCACUGGGUUUAAAGGGUGCGUAGGCGGGUUGGUAAGUCCGUGGUGAAAUCCCCAAGCUUAACUUGGGAACUGCCGUGGAUACUAUCAAUCUUGAAUAUCGUGGAGGUAAGCGGAAUAUGUCAUGUAGCGGUGAAAUGCUUAGAUAUGACAUAGAACACCAAUUGCGAAGGCAGCUCACUAAGCAAAUAUUGACGCUGAGGCACGAAAGCGUGGGGAUCAAACAGG
RNAcentral lists this ribosomal RNA (253 nucleotides) under uncultured bacterium. RNAcentral describes it as "partial 16S ribosomal RNA". It matches the Rfam family "Bacterial small subunit ribosomal RNA", at positions 524 to 776 of the family's 1533-position model. The record is from RNAcentral.